This 28-nucleotide small RNA is filed under the name Bombyx mori (domestic silkworm). Its description in RNAcentral is "ovarian small RNA-32828". Lineage: Eukaryota; Metazoa; Arthropoda; Insecta; Lepidoptera; Bombycidae. The record is from RNAcentral.
UGAUGAUGAUACACACAUCCGUACGGUC